GGGUGGUUAGCUCAGCGGAUAGAGCGCUUGCUUCACACGCAAGAGGUCACAGGUUCAAAUCCUGUAUCACCCA
This 73-nucleotide transfer RNA is filed under the name Chloroflexota bacterium. RNAcentral's name for it is "tRNA-Val". It matches the Rfam family "tRNA". Rfam says of the family: Transfer RNA (tRNA) molecules are approximately 80 nucleotides in length. Their secondary structure includes four short double-helical elements and three loops (D, anti-codon, and T loops). RNAcentral also lists the same sequence under 1 other name. Lineage: Bacteria; Bacillati; Chloroflexota. The record is from RNAcentral.